Molecule: ribosomal RNA, 495 nt
Filed under: uncultured bacterium
Lineage: Bacteria
Description: partial 16S ribosomal RNA
Rfam family: Bacterial small subunit ribosomal RNA
Source: RNAcentral
GACGAACGCUGGCGGCGUGCCUAAUACAUGCAAGUAGAACGCUGAAGGAGGAGCUUGCUUCUCUGGAUGAGUUGCGAACGGGUGAGUAACGCGUAGGUAACCUGCCUGGUAGCGGGGGAUAACUAUUGGAAACGAUAGCUAAUACCGCAUAAGAGUAGAUGUUGCAUGACAUUUGCUUAAAAGGUGCAAUUGCAUCACUACCAGAUGGACCUGCGUUGUAUUAGCUAGUUGGUGGGGUAACGGCUCACCAAGGCGACGAUACAUAGCCGACCUGAGAGGGUGAUCGGCCACACUGGGACUGAGACACGGCCCAGACUCCUACGGGAGGCAGCAGUAGGGAAUCUUCGGCAAUGGACGGAAGUCUGACCGAGCAACGCCGCGGGAGUGAAGAAGGUUUUCGGAUCGUAAAGCUCGGUUGUAAGAGAAGAACGAGUGUGAGAGUGGAAAGUUCACACUGUGACGGUAUCUUACCAGAAAGGGACGGCUAACUACGUG